GGGAUGUGCGAAAACUGAUAUUAAAGCCUUGCGGGGUUCCGGUUGACAUUUCGGGUAAUUAGUGUCGAUCAAGACACCGCGGCGGUUGCCACGGGCUCGAGGGGAGUACCGGGUCAUGACAUACAUUGUCUAAACAUAUAGCUUAAUAAUUUUCAUUGGGUUUAUCUAUACACUACAAAAAAAAGAGUGCUUGACUUCCAACGGAGAGACUCGGACGAAUAUAUAGCUACUGAAUGCCGAGACACCUACCAAGGGUCGAAUGUAUGAAGACACCUCGACCUAGGUAUCAGCUGUCUCGUGAUCUGAAAACUUGAAGUUGAAAACGGUGAGUAUAAAUCCAGUGAGUGAACAAGGAAGGGAACAAGCAAUUUAUAAGGAAGAAUUUGGAAAUCAUGAUGCAUUUGUUUUGAAAACAAUGCAAUUUGGUUUAAUUUCUUUCUUAAACCCCCUUAUUUUGGACAUUGAUAAGUGGACUCUUAGUAUUGAAAAGACCCAUGCUCAAUCAUGAAGAUAAGGGAGUGGAGGAAAUUAUAUCAGAACCCGAGCAAGGUAGCAACGUGACAGCACUUUUCUCACUGUAGAAAAAGGCAUUCUCGAUUUGUAUAUGGUUCGGUUUUUCCAGUAUAUCUUCCACUACAUGGGUCCAAUUAACAUGCUUGUUAGGUCAUCAAAAAUAUAAGAGGCAGGGCUACGACUUUACUGUUUAUCACUUUGCCUAGUUCUAAUCAAAAGGUGGUCAAAAUUACUGUCAAAGUGAUAGUACUGUACCUCCACUGAGAAUUUCUGGCGGCAGCGAGAAUCCAUUUCGCUGUAGCCAAAUUCCUUAUUGCAAUGAACACCAAUUUG
Molecule: long non-coding RNA, 846 nt
Filed under: Theobroma cacao (cacao)
Lineage: Eukaryota; Viridiplantae; Streptophyta; Magnoliopsida; Malvales; Malvaceae
Description: long non-coding RNA (TCAC_LNC003068)
Source: RNAcentral